AGCUCCAAUAGCGUAUAUUAAAGUUGUUGCAGUUAAAAAGCUCGUAGUUGAAUUUCUGGUAUAGGUGGCCGACCUUCCACUUGGUGGAUUAUGCGGUAGCCUUUGCCUUUUUUGAGUUGAGUUUGGGUGGCAUUAAUUUGUUGCUCUUACAAUACUCAUCAUUUACUGUGAAGAAAUUAGAGUGUUCAAAGCAGGCGUAGGCUGUGAAUACAUUAGCAUGGAAUAAUAAAAUAGGACUUUGGUACUAUUUUGUUGGUUUACAGACCAAAGUAAUGAUUAAUAGGGACAGUUGGGGAUAUUCGUAUUUCAGUGUCAGAGGUGAAAUUCUUGGAUUUCUGAAAGACGAACUACUGCGAAAGCAUUUAUCAAGGAUGUUUUCA
RNAcentral lists this ribosomal RNA (380 nucleotides) under fish environmental sample. RNAcentral describes it as "SSU rRNA". It matches the Rfam family "Eukaryotic small subunit ribosomal RNA", at positions 587 to 972 of the family's 1831-position model. The record is from RNAcentral. Lineage: Eukaryota; Metazoa; Chordata.